ACCGUUUCACCUUUUCAUCACUUUAACCUUCAAUAUCCAAACACUUUUCGUAAUUUCUAUAUUUAAUAUCCAAACACUCAUAAAAAAUAUUAACCAAACGGAAACAAAUUUGGAACGAGCUUAAACGUCAUCACGUUGUUUGGAUCGCGUCCAUCAUCGUCUUCGUCAUCACUUCAAAAUGCUCAAGCUCUCGCUUUCUGAGUCCAUUGAAAUCUAACACACGCUGGAACAAGGAACAAUUUGGAUUCGUUCAGGAUCGACGUUAAUUAAAGAAAUAAGAAGUUUUAGAAUACUCAACAAAUUGAUUUAUAGGUGUGCACGACAUCAGAUUCGAACCUAAGCUUUGACGCAAAAUCCUUGAAUUCGCCAUUCAUCCUUACCGAGAACUAUGAGAGAAUUCAACUCCAUAAGCUUCACUAAAUUGAAUCUGAGCCAUCGAAAUUAAUUAUCCGUCUUCACCAAAACAGAAUCGAAAAAAGGCACGGUCGUGUGCAACAUUGAAGUGAAAAUUGAAAUGAAAUGGGAAGACUAACCGAAAUGCACCGCAGUUGAGCAACUACAAACAAAAACCGGAUAAAACUUGAAUCAUGAUGAUACUAUUCAUUCUGGCAUCUUCCUCUUCAUCACGGUGUUCGCAUUCUUGCUUCGGCUCGACCAAAAGGAGCAAACCGAUUACCGCAGAGGUGUG
This 688-nucleotide long non-coding RNA is filed under the name Lathyrus oleraceus (garden pea). RNAcentral describes it as "Pisum sativum (pea) long non-coding RNA (PSAT_LNC009464)". The record is from RNAcentral. Lineage: Eukaryota; Viridiplantae; Streptophyta; Magnoliopsida; Fabales; Fabaceae.